AAAUCGUUUUACCGGCUCUCUUUUAGGUACCCGCCAUGCCUGGAUGAGAACUCAUCGUCAUUCCUGCAUUGGAGCGACGUUCCAGAAGUCUAAGCCCUGUUCUCAGAGACCACAUGCUCACACAGCUGUCCCAACCAUCCCACAGCCACCUGCCCUCCUCGGCAGCGCUAGCUCGCCAAAGAAGACGGCCCUGGUGUUCCGAGGCUUCCAUUUUCCACCUUUGUAAUCCUUGGCAGGGAUUUCUAGGCUCCUUUCCUGGUGGGAUCCCUUGUACCCCUAUGAAUUACUAGGGAGGGGGGUAAUGGUUGUUAGAUUCGACAGCCCUCGGGGUCUUGUCCCAGAGAGUUACAGUAUAGGAAUGGAGACAAAGUCUCCCCCCCCCCCCCCCCCCCCGUCACUUCCAAGACAGUUGGACCCGUCUUGUCCAGGAGUUGCCAACUACAUGUCCUCAGAGCACUGACACAAUGAUAACUCUACCUGGCAGCCAAGAACUUGUAGCAAUUUUCUUUCAUUUGGGGAUACUGUUCUGUUUUUGCCUCUUUGGGAUACUGUAUCCAGGAUAGUGGAUCUCCUUCAUAAUCCUCUGCAUUUUAUUUUGUGCCUGUACACACAUAAUUCUGAGAAGGGCUCCCGGGCUUCGCCUGCCUGCCAGACUCUCCACAGGCUCCUUCUGCCCUUUGUCUAUGCCACAAGUUAGGAUUUCCUGUGCCCCUUCGCCUCCUCGUUCUUCGUUGUUUCUUCUUUCAAAGCCUUUUUCUGUUCUUCCAAGGAGCGCUUCGUUGUCUGAAGGCUAUCAAUCCAGCCUUUUCACUGACUCCUCUGGGAUGGAACCAACCUGCCCCUUGUUCACAUCCACGGUUUCUUGUCCCACAACUGGGGCACCCUCUCUCCAUGAGUCACUGCAUGAUUCUCUUUAUCUCCAUGCUACCCGAACGCAGAUGCUCUCCUUGGUGAGGGAUACAUCUCAAUUAGCUGCCUUUGAUUAGCAGUGAACACAUUCCUGCCAAGCCCUGACACAAACAGAAGCUGGCUACUCAGCAAUCCAAUUAUCAACAAAGCUUUAUCUAAUUAAAUCUAUUACUGAACGUCCCUUGUUCAAAACAAAAUGUAUUGAUUAAUUUUUUUUUUUACUCAAUCAAUUAAUAGGAAUAUACUAAGCAGGGCCAGCUAGGUAGCUCAGUGGAUGGAGGUUCUGGGUUCAGACACUUCCUGGUUAUGUGACCCUGGGCAAGUCACUUGACCCCCAUUGCCUAGCCCUUACCACUUUUCUGCCUUGGAACCAAUACACAGUAUUGAUUCCAAGAUGGAAGGUAAGGGUUUAAAAAAAAACAACUGAUACUUAGUGUUGAUUCUAAGAGAGAAGGUGGGGGAUUUUUUAAAAAGGGACUAUAUUAAGCACCUACUAUAUACCAGGCACUAUGCUAGGAGCCAGAGAGACAACACAAAAAUGGUAUAGUUCCUGCCCUCAGGAAGCUUACAUUCUAGUGAAUGGAAUUGCCUGCUUCCUCCUUCCCCAGCUUUCCCUCACAGUCUUCAGGCUUUGGGGAUGAGGGUAUCCCUGUUUCUAGGGGGGAAGGGACUCUGAAACCUUUUCUCCUCCAAGCCCUCAGUCUAUAGGGUAAUCCCGAGAGGAUCCAAGCUCUCCCUGAAUGCUUCAUCGGUUGCAUCCACAACUUUGUUUGUACAAAGUUUGUAGGUGGUCUCCUCCACUGGACUGUAAGCCCCCUGUGGCCUUUACUCUUCUUUGCAUCCCCAGUGCUUAGCACAGCAUGCCUGGCAUUCAGUAGGCACUUAAAUGUUUGUUGGCUUGACUUGAGCUGGGAUCCCAAGGGUCCAUCCUCUUUACUCCACCCCCUGCUAUCAUCCUCAGCUCCGGUUUGAAAAUGCUUUGUUGGGGUAUGAGACCACCUGGUUUGGCCUCUCUUCAAUUGGUCUCAGUUCCCCAUGUGUCUGUCUUGUCUACAACGCAUGAGCUAGACAUUGAUU
RNAcentral lists this long non-coding RNA (1986 nucleotides) under Monodelphis domestica (gray short-tailed opossum). RNAcentral's name for it is "lncRNA (ENSMODG00000044556.1)". The record is from RNAcentral. Lineage: Eukaryota; Metazoa; Chordata; Mammalia; Didelphimorphia; Didelphidae.